RNAcentral lists this ribosomal RNA (250 nucleotides) under uncultured prokaryote. Its description in RNAcentral is "partial 16S ribosomal RNA". It matches the Rfam family "Bacterial small subunit ribosomal RNA", at positions 524 to 774 of the family's 1533-position model. The record is from RNAcentral.
UACGUAGGGUGCAAGCGUUAUCCGGAUUUAUUGGGUGUAAAGGGUGCGUAGGCGGUUUAUUAAGUCUAAGGUCUAAGUCCGAAGCUCAACUUCGGUUCGCCUUAGAAACUAAUUUACUAGAGUAUGGUAGAGGCAAGUGGAAUUUCUAGUGUAGCGGUUAAAUGCGUAGAUAUUAGAAGGAACAUCAGUGGCGAAGGCGACUUGCUGGGCCAUUACUGACGCUGAGGCACGAAAGCGUGGGGAGCAAAUA